Hippocampus comes (tiger tail seahorse) is the source of this 702-nucleotide long non-coding RNA. RefSeq lists it as uncharacterized. The record is from RefSeq and is a predicted model, not a curated record. Lineage: Eukaryota; Metazoa; Chordata; Actinopteri; Syngnathiformes; Syngnathidae. The transcript is spliced from 2 exons.
UCGUUCGAGUGAGCGUUCUGACCUCUUCGUUCUCGAGUUUCAGUGAUGCCAGGCGGGUCUGCAGCUGCGUGAGGCGCAAGGUGAGCUCCGCCUGCACCUGCGGCUGGGAGGCGAUCUGGCUCACCUGCCGGCAAGACCGCCCGCCGCAAACGAGCGCGUCAGACGACUCGACGCGACGGCAUCGCCGGCGUUUUGGACCCACCGUGUCGCCCAUGUGGGCCUGGAAGCCGAAGCGGGGCGGCGGGCAGAAUGCGGUGGGGUAGAGGCCCAGCAGGCGCUGGCGGUCGCGGGCGGGGUCCAGACCCUCCACGGCGCCCUCCAGCACCUCCAGACCGGCGCGCCUGGACGCCUCCAGGCCGAGUUCGGCCGACAGUGGCGGACUGCGAGAUGUGAGCCUUUUUCCUGACGCCGUGGACAAGCCGAGGCAAAAGACGCUGCUGGAUUGUCAUUUUGUGGUGUGUGUGUGUGUGUGUGUGUGUGUUUUUGAAUAUAUGUCGUUUCCGUGAAGAAGAUGCCACAAUAAAAACAAAAGGUCCAGUUUGAUGUUCGAAGAAAUAGUCUUGAAAUAAUGCUCUUGAUUAAUUUGAUGUCACAGCAUGUUGUGAAGGUUAACGUUGGUAAAUGCUGCCCUCUAGUGGGGAAAGGAAGCCUUGGCGAGAGAAUGGAACAAAAUAAAAGAGAACGAGCGCUCGGUGAAACCAA